UCAUAUGGAUUCCUACGGGAGGCAGCAGUUAGGAAUUUUGUGCAAUGGGGGAAACCCUGACACAGCCACGCCGCGUGCGGGAUGAAGGCCUUCGGGUCGUAAACCGCUUUUCUCAAGGAAGACACCCGACGGUACUUGAGGAAUAAGCAACGGCUAACUACGUGCCAGCAGCCGCGGUAAUACGUAGGUUGCGAGCGUUGUCCGGAUUUACUGGGUGUAAAGCGCGCGCAGGCGGUCUCGAAAGUCCACGGUGAAAGCUCCCGGCCCAACUGGGAGAGGCCCGUGGAAACUUCGAGACUUGAAGAUGGCAGAGGCAGAUGGAAUUUCCGGUGUAGCGGUAAAAUGCGUAGAUACCGGAAGGAACACCAGUGGCGAAGGCGAUCUGCUGGGCCAUCCUUGACGCUCAGGCGCGAAAGCUAGGGUAGCGACCGGGAUUAGAUACCCCGUUAGUCCUAGCCGUAAACAAUGGUCACUAGGUGUUGCAGGUAUCGACCCCCGCAGUGCCGAAGCUAACGCAUUAAGUGACCCACCUGGGGAGUACGGCCGCAAGGCUAAAACUCAAAGGAAUUGACGGGGGCCCGCACAAGCAGCGGAGCGUGCGGUUCAAUUCGAUGGUACGCGAAAAACCUUACCCAGGCUUGACAUGCAUCUCUAAACACGUGAAAGCGUGUGACCCUUCGGGGAAUUUGCACAGGUGCUGCAUGGCCGUCGUCAGCUCGUGUCGUGAGAUGUUGGGUUAAGUCCCGCAACGAGCGCAACCCUUGUGAUUAGUUGCCAGCACGUCAUGGUGGGAACUCUAAUCAGACUGCCCAGAUCAACUGGGAGGAAGGUGGGGACGACGUCAGGUCAGUAUGGCCCUUACGCCUUGGGCUGCACACGUACUACAAUGCCCAGCACAAUGAGAACCGAUACCGCGAGGUGGAGGAAAUCUGUAAAACUGGGCUCAGUUCGGAUUGGAGGCUGCAACUCGCCUCCAUGAAGUUGGAAUCGCUAGUAAUGGUGCAUCAUCUACGGCACCGUGAAUACGUUCCCGGGCCUUGUACACACCGCCAUCGGAUCCCCG
This 1063-nucleotide ribosomal RNA is filed under the name uncultured Haloferula sp. RNAcentral describes it as "bacterial SSU rRNA". It matches the Rfam family "Bacterial small subunit ribosomal RNA", at positions 327 to 1407 of the family's 1533-position model. Lineage: Bacteria; Pseudomonadati; Verrucomicrobiota; Verrucomicrobiia; Verrucomicrobiales; Verrucomicrobiaceae. The record is from RNAcentral.